Molecule: ribosomal RNA, 257 nt
Filed under: Bacillus thuringiensis
Lineage: Bacteria; Bacillati; Bacillota; Bacilli; Caryophanales; Bacillaceae
Description: partial 16S ribosomal RNA
Rfam family: Bacterial small subunit ribosomal RNA
Source: RNAcentral
UUUAUUGGAGAGUUUGAUCCUGGCUCAGGAUGAACGCUGGCGGCGUGCCUAAUACAUGCAAGUCGAGCGAAUGGAUUAAGAGCUUGCUCUUAUGAAGUUAGCGGCGGACGGGUGAGUAACACGUGGGUAACCUGCCCAUAAGACUGGGAUAACUCCGGGAAACCGGGGCUAAUACCGGAUAACAUUUUGAACUGCAUGGUUCGAAAUUGAAAGGCGGCUUAGGCUGUCACUUAUGGAUGGACCCGCGUCGCAUUAGC